RNAcentral lists this long non-coding RNA (889 nucleotides) under Homo sapiens (human). RNAcentral describes it as "HSALNT0361514". The record is from RNAcentral. Lineage: Eukaryota; Metazoa; Chordata; Mammalia; Primates; Hominidae.
AAAAGCGAGUGAAGAGAGCGCGACGGCGGCGGCGGCGGCGGCGCAGCUAUUGCUGGACGGCCAGUGGGAGAGCGAGGCCUGAGCCUCUGCGUCUAGGUGAGAAGGGGGUGCGCCAGCGGGAGCGGCCGGGCUGCGGGCUCCUCCUCGCCUGGCUCGGGAAGUGGUUGCGGGAGCUCGGGCUGCAGGCCUGGCCGAGGCGGGGGCGCCGACCAGCCGUCCCGCCCCCGCCCCCGCCCGGGUACGCCCAGAAGUGAGGGCGCCCGCCUCACCCCGGGUGGUCUCUGCCCCUCUUUGCCCCGCCGCCGCCCUUCACAGGGCCGGGACCGCGUGGGGGACGUACGGUGGGGCCUGGUUUGCAGCCGCGGAGCCCGGGGAGCCGCCUGGGGUGGGAGGCCGCUAGAGGUGGCGAAGUAUAACAAUACCUAAGUGCUGAGGCGACUUGCAGUAGAGAAGUAAUCUGAGUGGCGUGGAGUGAAUCAGGGAAGGUUUCCUGAAAGAGGUGAGUUUUGAGCCAUCAUGUGAACUAGAAGUUGGGAUGUGGGUUAUUACAAGACAUGAGGAUGACAUUCCAGUAGUUUGUACUUGGUAUAAGCAACUGUGGACAAGAGUGACAAAUUAAAAAUGGUUUUUAAGGAUGAUUGAAGAUUCGAAUGAAGAUUUAGGGGUUUGGAAAUCAACCAAGGCUAUGUUGCAGCUUAGCUGAUAAAUAAUUUUUUAUGUUGGUUAGGAGAGAAAAUUAACAGUUGAUAAUGGAUUGGAGAUAGGUAGUAAAGGAAAGAGCAUAAAAUAUUUGAUAGUUAUAGGAGAAUGAAGUGAAAGUAAGGUUAUUGAGAGGUAGGUUUAACAGUCAACCAUAUAUCAUAAGUUGGAAACAUUUUUGAGUCCUGUG